This is a non-coding RNA of Odocoileus virginianus texanus, 697 nucleotides long. NCBI's taxonomy places the organism in Eukaryota, Metazoa, Chordata, Mammalia, Artiodactyla, Cervidae. The record is from RefSeq and is a predicted model, not a curated record.
GCGCCAACCCGGGCCGCGACGCCUUCUUUUCCGCUUGGCCGCGGGCGGAGGAAAGGCAUUGAGGGUCUGUCGACCGUACGGGCGUGGCAGCAACGCCCGCGGGCACGUCGCCCAGCUCUUCGGAGGGAGAAAGCCCCACGGAGUUAGAUCAUUUUCUUAUUUCUCCCGGGAACCCGACUCCGUGCCCGGGUCUACAGGUCGGCCUCAGGCCCCUCCGGCUUGUGCGUCCCGCCCCCGGGGUCCCCAUCCCGGUGGCUUCGGUCCAUUGCCGGGUACAGCCCAGCGGUCGGCGCGGCCGCGGCCUCCGAGUCAUCCCAUGAGGCCACCUUCCCCUCCCCAACCCGGUUGACGCCGCCUCGAGCUCUCCUGCAUGCCUUCUGCUCAGUCGCAUUUUGUGCAGCAGAGCCUGUGAGUUGAAGAUGAAGAUCAUUGUGAUAAAUGUUUUCCAAAAACCUGUCACAGAGGAUGGCUGUGAAAACACUAGGAGGACCGCUGUGCAUGUAACAAGCAGAUGAGUACAUACAGAUGAAUGUUCAAGUCCUUAGCAUUGGUGCUUAAAAACUCUUCAUUACCUCAAGUAAGUGAUUACGAUUUGUCACGCAGCCGCAUCUAUUGACAGUUUGAAAGUGUCUGAUAAACUCCGAAAGCUGAGGCCAUUUCCUUUCCUGUUAAAGAUGCCUUUGUGUGUCAGGUGUAU